CCAAAGUACAAAAACAGAGCAUAAAAACAAUGUGUCUGAUUAUAGACUCAGAAUAACACAUCUGUCUUUUGUAAUAACAUUAUUCUGUCAUUUGUAUCCAGCUGACAAAAUACUAAAUAAUGUCUUAUACUUGUAUGCCGAUGUUCAAUGUGCAUUGAUUAACAAAAUCCUAUAGAUAUACACUGUUGAUCCAAGAGGUAUUAUUCACUACAUACAUAAUUCAAGACUUG
Molecule: non-coding RNA, 230 nt
Organism: Pelobates cultripes (western spadefoot toad)
Lineage: Eukaryota; Metazoa; Chordata; Amphibia; Anura; Pelobatidae
Source: the annotation of a GenBank genome assembly